Molecule: non-coding RNA, 91 nt
Organism: Solanum tuberosum (potato)
Lineage: Eukaryota; Viridiplantae; Streptophyta; Magnoliopsida; Solanales; Solanaceae
Source: Rfam
CUGCUGUGAUGAAACUUGGAAUAUGUCGAAAGUUUCUAUACUUGGUGAAACCGUCAACAGUGAUGUUGAUCCUGAACGGUUACCUGAGCAG